This 1497-nucleotide long non-coding RNA is filed under the name Homo sapiens (human). RNAcentral describes it as "long non-coding RNA NONHSAT151947.1". Lineage: Eukaryota; Metazoa; Chordata; Mammalia; Primates; Hominidae. The record is from RNAcentral.
GAAACAGCUCCCUCAGUUUGGAAUCAGCUCUCCCGCUGCGGCCGCAGUAGCCGGAGCCGGAGCCGCAGCCACCGGUGCCUUCCUUUCCCGCCGCCGCCCAGCCGCCGUCCGGCCUCCCUCGGGCCCGAGCGCAGACCAGGCUCCAGCCGCGCGGCGCCGGCAGCCUCGCGCUCCCUCUCGGGUCUCUCUCGGGCCUCGGGCACCGCGUCCUGUGGGGCGGCCGCCUGCCUGCCCGCCCGCCCGCAGCCCCUUCGCUGCGCGGCCCCUGGGCGGCCGCUGCCAUGGGCACCGACAGCCGCGCGGCCAAGGCGCUCCUGGCGCGGGCCCGCACCCUGCACCUGCAGACGGGGAACCUGCUGAACUGGGGCCGCCUGCGGAAGAAGUGCCCGUCCACGCACAGCGAGGAGCUUCAUGAUUGUAUCCAAAAAACCUUGAAUGAAUGGAGUUCCCAAAUCAACCCAGAUUUGGUCAGGGUAAGUGAAAUGUGAAUGCAAAAAUCAUGCAGGUCAAAAAGGAAGUAAAGUAAACAGGAAGUUAAUUUCUUCAGUUUUGUGAGGGAAGUCAAAUAGGCAAUUAGCCAUAAACUCUCUGUGGUUGAUUUGCUGAGACGGCACUCUGAUCCAGUAGGCUUAUGCAUAAAACAGAAAAUCUAGACCGUAGGCAACUCUUUAACCAGACAAGAUACUAGGAUUCUCAUGCUUAAUUCUCACCAUGGUUUCCUCACUAUCAGUGUUUUAUUUCAGUUUAUAUUUGGUCUAGGAGAGGAAUGAUUAUCAAUUGUGAUUGGUAGAUUGCUUUAGUAGACUCAACAUCACUAGAAGUAAUUUUUCAAAUGUCAGUUUCUGAUGAAACAAUAAGGAACUGUGUUCCACUAAAUGUCAGUAUAUGGCUACUAUCAUAAAUGUUAAUGUUCAAAACCCUAAAACACAUUUUGAAAUCCAACUCAGUCAAAGGCUCACAGCACAUUACUUAGGCUACUUUAAAAGUAUGGAAAAGGACAUGUGCUGGAAAUACUGGUUCCCCUGGGCAUACUGCAACCAUGUAACUCUAUAGCUACUAUAUAGACAUUGAGUUAUGGUUUUUUUUAAAUCAAUCUCUGUUUCUCUGAAAUGACUGUUUAUUCUACUUAUGCUUGACUUGUAAACACUUACUGAACCCCUGAUACGUGCUGUGAAAGUGCUCAAGAAUCAUGGGAAAGCCUUUGCCGUUUACUUUGUAUGAUAUUGUAAAUGUAAGUUAAUAUGUAUCUGAUUUAUAUGUACUAAUAUUUUCUCAUUAUCCUUGUAAAUUAUUCAUUAAAAUACAUUCAAAUAGCCUUUGCUUUUUUCUGCUGCACUCAGGAAAAAAAAAGUUUUGGUUUACAAUGCUUGUGAUUACAGGCUGGGCGCAGUGGCUCACGCCUAUAAUCCCAGCACUUUGGGAGGCUAAAGCAGGUAGAUCACCUGAGGUCAGGAGUUUGAGACCAGUCUGGCCAACAUGGCGAAACCCCAUGUCUAC